UUCAAUCCAUAGGUAGAUAUGGUGGACUUUUGUGGCAAAAACUGGGUUUAUGGGUUUUGGAUGCACAAGUAGUAUCUCUACUUGGUGCAAGGUUUUGGCUAGCAAAAGGUUAUGAGAAAGUACCACAUGUUAGAGGAUCCAUGAUAGUAUAGCUUCUAUGUGAAUAUAAGAAAACAUAACUCAUUAUGUUGUCUUCCUUGUCCAACAUCAACUAGUUGAUCGUGCAUAGAAAUUUAAUGGGGGCUCACAGUCAUAAAA
Molecule: long non-coding RNA, 258 nt
Filed under: Hordeum vulgare
Lineage: Eukaryota; Viridiplantae; Streptophyta; Magnoliopsida; Poales; Poaceae
Description: long non-coding RNA (HVUL_LNC003120)
Source: RNAcentral